Molecule: ribosomal RNA, 444 nt
Filed under: Triticum aestivum (bread wheat)
Lineage: Eukaryota; Viridiplantae; Streptophyta; Magnoliopsida; Poales; Poaceae
Description: partial small subunit ribosomal RNA
Source: RNAcentral
AUGGCAGUUCACCGAGUUCAGAUUCAGAAACACAUUCAUGCUUCUCAUGAAGAACACUGCUGGAUAGUUCAUCAUACUGAAAGCGUGACUGAUCUACUUACCUGGGUCGAUUCCGUCGGUGUUUGGCGAGUGGACGGGCGCGAGAAUCGUGACGCCGCUGAUGGUCACAUUGCUGCUCAACACAGGACACGCCAGCGAGAGAGAGAUGGUGUUUUCUUACGUGCAGUAGGUGGGGUGGAGGUUCCAGGAGGGGGCGUCGACGAAGGUGACGUUGGAGAUGAUGAUGUCGCGGGAGUAGAGGAGCUCGAGCAGGUAGCCGCGCGUGUAGUCGAGCUGCUUGGCGUGGAACUUGUCCCACCACACCUGCCCCUGCCCGUUGAUGGUGCCAUUGUAACCUGCAAACAUGUUUUGGUCAGGUCUCUGCUGCUGCUACCGGUACAGUAG